CUCGAGGUGCUGCUCGACCGCGAAACGAAAUUUGACUGCGUACGAGGCUCGCUUGCGCCAGACAUUGUUGACCUAAACAGCAACG
Molecule: non-coding RNA, 85 nt
Organism: Aspergillus fumigatus Af293
Lineage: Eukaryota; Fungi; Ascomycota; Eurotiomycetes; Eurotiales; Aspergillaceae
Source: the annotation of a RefSeq genome assembly